CAAUGCAAACAUUUAUAGGUUAUUAUAUAUUGUUAGAUUAGAUUUUUAAAUAAACUUAAUUUAAUUUUUUUUAUAUAUAUUAUUUUAAGGAUGUGCUAAUGCUAAAAAGCACACUGCUGGCUCAUCAGAUAAGAAUAUAGUUAUCCAUUCUUGUGAUUAUAAUAGACAAAAAGAUUCUUUUAGGCCUCUAUUAAAUACAAAUCAAUUAUAAAAAAAGAUAUUACCAGAGGAUACUUCUGCAAAAAUGAACAAUGUACUCCACAUACUACCACAUGGAACUAAUAUUAGGCCAUUAAAUCCUUUUAGUAAUAGACCACUUUUAUAAUAUUUAAUAUUUAUUUCUUUAAGGGAUUUUACCAAAUAAUAUGCCCAAACUGACAUUACCAUUAAAAAACACCACAAAUGUCCCAACUUCAAAUUUUUCUUUUGUGAAAGUUGGGAAUAUAUCUACAAGCUCAAAUCAAAUUAGAAC
Gordionus sp. m RMFG-2023 is the source of this 472-nucleotide long non-coding RNA. RefSeq lists it as uncharacterized. Lineage: Eukaryota; Metazoa; Nematomorpha; Gordioida; Chordodea; Parachordodidae. The record is from RefSeq and is a predicted model, not a curated record. The transcript is spliced from 3 exons.